This 256-nucleotide ribosomal RNA is filed under the name uncultured prokaryote. RNAcentral's name for it is "partial 16S ribosomal RNA". It matches the Rfam family "Bacterial small subunit ribosomal RNA", at positions 521 to 777 of the family's 1533-position model. The record is from RNAcentral.
UAAUACGUAGGGGGCAAGCGUUGUCCGGAAUUAUUGGGCGUAAAGCGCGCGCAGGCGGCUCUUUAAGUCUGGUGUUUAAUCCCGAGGCUCAACUUCGGGUCGCACUGGAAACUGGAGAGCUUGAGUGCAGAAGAGGAGAGUGGAAUUCCACGUGUAGCGGUGAAAUGCGUAGAGAUGUGGAGGAACACCAGUGGCGAAGGCGACUCUCUGGGCUGUAACUGACGCUGAGGCGCGAAAGCGUGGGGAGCAAACAGGA